This 253-nucleotide ribosomal RNA is filed under the name uncultured bacterium. RNAcentral's name for it is "partial 16S ribosomal RNA". It matches the Rfam family "Bacterial small subunit ribosomal RNA", at positions 524 to 776 of the family's 1533-position model. The record is from RNAcentral.
UACGUAGGGAGCAAGCGUUGUUCGGAAUUACUGGGCGUAAAGAGUGUGUAGGCGGUGCUCUAAGUCUGUUGUGAAAUCUCCCGGCUUAACUGGGAGGGUGCAGCGGAAACUGGAAUGCUCGAGUAUGGGAGAGGUAAGCGGAAUUCCUGGUGUAGCGGUGAAAUGCGUAGAUAUCGGGAGGAACACCGGUGGCGAAGGCGGUUCUCUGGGCCUUACCUGACGCUGAGGAGCGAAAGCGUGGGGAGCGAACAGG